This 255-nucleotide ribosomal RNA is filed under the name uncultured bacterium. Its description in RNAcentral is "partial 16S ribosomal RNA". It matches the Rfam family "Bacterial small subunit ribosomal RNA", at positions 524 to 777 of the family's 1533-position model. The record is from RNAcentral.
UACGUAGGGUGCAAGCGUUAAUCGGAAUUACUGGGCGUAAAGCGUGCGCAGGCGGUUAUGUAAGACAGGUGUGAAAUCCCCGGGCUUAACCUGGGAACUGCAUUUGUGACUGCAUAGCUAGAGUACGGUAGAGGGGGAUGGAAUUCCGCGUGUAGCAGUGAAAUGCGUAGAUAUGCGGAGGAACACCGAUGGCGAAGGCAAUCCCCUGGACCUGUACUGACGCUCAUGCACGAAAGACGUGGGGAGCAAACGAGG